UGGCACUUCCUGCCCCUUCAUGUGGGGUGAAGAAGGGGGAUGUAGCCACUGGGGUUCACUGUUGCCCCCCCAUCCGUGGGAGGUGGGGCUGCCCCCAGAGCCUCCCCAUGUUCCCAGCCUAGUCAGUGACAUCCUCCCCUCCCUGGGGCACAGGAGGAAGGUGAGCCUGACUUCCGCGGGAACACAGGGCAGGGCACACAGGACAGCUACUAGGUGGGGAUCUGCCUUUAUCUCCACAGGGCACCCACAAUCCUCCUUCCUGUGUCUGUGGCUCUCACAGUUGAGGGGCCUCCCGCGAGGGGGCCGUGCAGUGUGCGUCCUUCUGGGUCUGGUUUGUUUCCCUGAGCAGCGUGGCCUCGCGGUUUGUCCAUGCCUUAGCAGUGUCAGGAUCCCUUCCCUUUUCACUUCUGAGUAAUAUUCCACACACAAAUGGCCUGCCCUAUGUCCGUGGAUGGUUGGGUUGUUUUAAUCUUUUGAUGGUGAGUUCUGUCUCUGUGGUCACGGCUUGCCCGCUUUUUGCACACUCAUGUGACUUCCUCUCUCUGGGCGACAUACCUAAGUGUAGGACUGCUGGAGCAUCCAUAUUUAACGUCCAGCCUGUCUCCUGCCCCACAUUAGGCCCUUCACACUGAGCUACACCCCUAACCUUUUGAGACAGGGCGUCCCUCAGCCACCCUAACCCGGGCUGGGCUUGAACUUGCCAGCUUCCUCCCUCGGCCUGCCAGCCCUGCCAGCGCUGGCUCUGAGGUGACAGGCGUGGGCCUCUUGCUUUGGUCUUUUAGGUUUGCAGCAGCCCGGGACCGCCCCCAGGUCGGGUCACAGAGCCGGACCAGCUCACCAGGAACCCCGGGGCGCCCCGGGUGGGGUGGGGUGCAGGGCCAGGUCCCCGCCCUCGCCCUCUCGCACCUGCGCGGACUCCCGGGGCUUGAGCGCGGGUGGUGCUCGCGGCCCCGCCCCUCCCCUCCCCCUCCUCCCGGGCGAGCCAGGACCCAGGCCGCGCCCAGCCGCCUCUUCCACUUUCCUUCCCGAGUCGCACCGGGACCGCGGAGCGGGGCGCGCCUGCGCAGACGCCCACCUGGCUAAGGGGCAGGAGCCUUCACAGGGUCAGAGGAGGAAACGCACCUGUCCCAGGGCAGAUGGGUCCCGCGUGGGAGGAUUCCACAGCGCAAGCUGGGCGGGCGGCGAGCCAUGGCCCCUGGUUACUACAGCAAGUGUGGGGUUGGCGUGGGGGUCCUGGCGAGUGGGUGCCUCACAUGCUAAGCUCAUGAGAAGCGCUGGGUUCCAUCCCAGCGGAGCAUGAAGAGUAGAACCAGAGCCAGGAGUGGUGGCACCUACCUGGCAAGUGUGAGCUUGUGAGUUCGAUUUCUGAUACCAAAAAAAAGAGGGCAGCAAAGGAAGGCCAACAGGGAGCUGGACAUGAUCAAAAUGUGGGUAUAUGUCUAAAGUGCCAGGAUGUGCAGGCCCAUCGCCCCUGCACCUGGGAGGCUGAGGCAGGAGGACCUGAGUUCAAGGCCGUCCUGGGCCACAGAGCAAGACCUUGUCUCACCAAAAAAAAAAAAAAGCCGGAAUGAAUCUGGGCAAGGCGGUGCACACCUGUCAUCUCAGCGCCACCAGAGAGGCCGAGGCAGGACUGCCGCGAAUACAAGGUGGGACCCUUGAACUACACAGAGAGACCCUGGCUCAAAAACCCUAAAUAUUAAGAUACAAAAUGUUCCAAUAAAGACUCUCAUACUGGGAAAA
Cavia porcellus (domestic guinea pig) is the source of this 1740-nucleotide long non-coding RNA. RefSeq lists it as uncharacterized. The record is from RefSeq and is a predicted model, not a curated record. Lineage: Eukaryota; Metazoa; Chordata; Mammalia; Rodentia; Caviidae. The transcript has 2 exons.